GAGUUUGAUCAUGGCUCAGGACGAACGCUGGCGGCGUGCCUAAUACAUGCAAGUCGAACGAGAUCCCGGAGCUUGCUCCGGGGGACAGUGGCGAACGGGUGAGUAACACGUGAGAAACCUGCCCUAGAGACCGGGACAACCGUUGGAAACGGCGGCUAAUACCGGAUGCCUUCACACGGUCGCAUGGCCGAGUGAAGAAACGCUCAGGUGCUCUAGGAGGGUCUCGCGGCCUAUCAGCUAGUUGGUGAGGUAAUGGCUCACCAAGGCAUCGACGGGUAGCUGGUCUGAGAGGACGAUCAGCCACACUGGGACUGAGACACGGCCCAGACUCCUACGGGAGGCAGCAGUAGGGAAUCUUGCGCAAUGGGGGCAACCCUGACGCAGCAACGCCGCGUGUGGGAUGACGGCUUUCGGGUUGUAAACCACUUUCAGUGAUGACGAAAAUGACGGUAAUCACAGAAGAAGGUCCGGCCAACUACGUGCCAGCAGCCGCGGUAACACGUAGGGACCGAGCGUUGUCCGGAUUUAUUGGGCGUAAAGAGCUCGUAGGCGGUUCUGUAAGUCGGAUGUGAAAACUCAGGGCUCAACCCUGAGACGCCAUCUGAUACUGCAGUGACUAGAGUCCGGUAGAGGAAGAUGGAAUUCCUGGUGUAGCGGUGGAAUGCGCAGAUAUCAGGAGGAACACCAACGGCGAAGGCAGUCUUCUGGGCCGGUACUGACGCUGAGGAGCGAAAGCAUGGGGAGCAAACAGGAUUAGAUACCCUGGUAGUCCAUGCCG
This 778-nucleotide ribosomal RNA is filed under the name uncultured bacterium. Its description in RNAcentral is "bacterial SSU rRNA". It matches the Rfam family "Bacterial small subunit ribosomal RNA", at positions 9 to 802 of the family's 1533-position model. The record is from RNAcentral.